AGUGAGGAAUAUUGGACAAUGGGGGAAACCCUGAUCCAGCCAUGCCGCGUGAGUGAAGAAGGCCUUCGGGUUGUAAAGCUCUUUCAGAUGCGAAGAUAAUGACGGUAACAUCAGAAGAAGCCCCGGCUAAAUUCGUGCCAGCAGCCGCGGUAAUACGAAUGGGGCAAGCGUUGUUCGGAAUCACUGGGCUUAAAGCGUACGUAGGCGGACAUGAAAGUCAGAAGUGAAAUCCCGGGGCUCAACCUCGGAACUGCUUUUGAAACUCCAUGUCUAGAAUCCGAGAGGGGUUAGUGGAAUUCCUAGUGUAGAGGUGAAAUUCGCAGAUAUUAGGAGGAACACCAGUGGCGAAGGCGACUGACUGGAUCGGUAUUGACGCUGAGGUACGAAAGCGUGGGGAGCAAA
RNAcentral lists this ribosomal RNA (402 nucleotides) under uncultured Alphaproteobacteria bacterium. Its description in RNAcentral is "bacterial SSU rRNA". It matches the Rfam family "Bacterial small subunit ribosomal RNA", at positions 353 to 772 of the family's 1533-position model. Lineage: Bacteria; Pseudomonadati; Pseudomonadota; Alphaproteobacteria. The record is from RNAcentral.